This 301-nucleotide ribosomal RNA is filed under the name uncultured bacterium. RNAcentral's name for it is "partial 16S ribosomal RNA". It matches the Rfam family "Bacterial small subunit ribosomal RNA", at positions 509 to 807 of the family's 1533-position model. The record is from RNAcentral.
CAGUAGCCGCGGUAAUACGAAGGGUGCAAGCGUUAAUCGGAAUUACCGGGCGUAAGGCGUGCGCAGGCGGUUAUAUAAGUCAGAUGUGAAAUCCCCGGGCUCAACCUGGGAACUGCAUUUGAGACUGUAUGGCUAGAGUGUGUCAGAGGGGGGUAGAAGUCCACGUGUAGCAGUGAAAUGCGUAGAUAUGUGGAGGAAUACCGAUGGCGAAGGCAGCCCCCUGGGAUAACACUGACGCUCAUGCACGAAAGCGUGGGGAGCAAACAGGAUUAGAUACCCCAGUAGUCCCUGUCUCUUAUAC